RNAcentral lists this transfer RNA (73 nucleotides) under Anguilla anguilla (European eel). It matches the Rfam family "tRNA". Rfam says of the family: Transfer RNA (tRNA) molecules are approximately 80 nucleotides in length. Their secondary structure includes four short double-helical elements and three loops (D, anti-codon, and T loops). Further hydrogen bonds mediate the characteristic L-shaped molecular structure. tRNAs have two regions of fundamental functional importance: the anti-codon, which is responsible for specific mRNA codon recognition, and the 3' end, to which the tRNAs corresponding amino acid is attached (by aminoacyl-tRNA synthetases). tRNAs cope with the degeneracy of the genetic code in two manners: having more than one tRNA (with a specific anti-codon) for a particular amino acid; and 'wobble' base-pairing, i.e. permitting non-standard base-pairing at the 3rd anti-codon position. Lineage: Eukaryota; Metazoa; Chordata; Actinopteri; Anguilliformes; Anguillidae. The record is from Rfam by way of RNAcentral. RNAcentral also lists the same sequence under 3 other names.
GGGCCAGUGGCGCAAUGGAUAACGCGUCUGACUACGGAUCAGAAGACUCCAGGUUCGACUCCUGGCUGGCUCG